UACCAGCACCCCGAGUGGUCGGGACGAUUAUUGGGCCUAAAGCAUCCGUAGCCGGUUCUACAAGUCUUCCGUUAAAUCCACCUGCUUAACAGUUGGGCUGCAGAGGAUACUAUAGAGCUAGGAGGCGGGAGAGGCAAGCGGUACUUAGUGGGUAGGGGUAAAAUCCGUUGAUCCACUGAAGACCACCAGUGGCGAAGGCGGCUUGCCAGAACGCGCUCGACGGUGAGGGAUGAAAGCUGGGGGAGCAAACCGGAUGAGAAACCCGAGUAGUCC
This 273-nucleotide ribosomal RNA is filed under the name uncultured bacterium. RNAcentral describes it as "partial 16S ribosomal RNA". It matches the Rfam family "Archaeal small subunit ribosomal RNA", at positions 474 to 747 of the family's 1478-position model. The record is from RNAcentral.